UACGGGGGGGGCAAGCGUUGUUCGGAAUUACUGGGCGUAAAGCGCGCGUAGGCGGCUCUUCAAGUCGCGUGUGAAAGCCCCCGGCUCAACUGGGGAGGGUCACGCGAUACUGAUCGACUCGAAGGCAGGAGAGGGUAGUGGAAUUCCCGGUGUAGUGGUGAAAUGCGUAGAUAUCGGGAGGAACACCAGUGGCGAAGGCGACUACCUGGCCUGUUCUUGACGCCGAGGCGCGAAAGCUAGGGGAGCAAACGGG
Molecule: ribosomal RNA, 253 nt
Filed under: uncultured bacterium
Lineage: Bacteria
Description: partial 16S ribosomal RNA
Rfam family: Bacterial small subunit ribosomal RNA
Source: RNAcentral